This 231-nucleotide unclassified non-coding RNA is filed under the name uncultured fungus. RNAcentral describes it as "sequence contains ITS1, 5.8S rRNA gene". The stretch from base 183 to 231 matches the Rfam family "5.8S ribosomal RNA", at positions 1 to 49 of the family's 154-position model. Lineage: Eukaryota; Fungi. The record is from RNAcentral.
UCUCCGUAGGUGAACCUGCGGAGGGAUCAUUACACGAUUGGCUGGGGCCUCCGGGCCCCACCCGUUCACCCUUUGUAUAUCAACCCAUGUUUCCUCGGGGGUCACCCGUCCCAGCGGGUCCCCCGGCGGCUCCAUCGAAACUCGUUUUAUCUUGCGUCUGAGUCACAGUUAAAUCUAAACAAAACUUUCAACAACGGAUCUCUUGGUUUUCGCAUCGAUGAAGAACGCAGC